This 1528-nucleotide ribosomal RNA is filed under the name Klebsiella pneumoniae. RNAcentral describes it as "bacterial SSU rRNA". It matches the Rfam family "Bacterial small subunit ribosomal RNA". The record is from RNAcentral. Lineage: Bacteria; Pseudomonadati; Pseudomonadota; Gammaproteobacteria; Enterobacterales; Enterobacteriaceae.
AGAGUUUGAUCAUGGCUCAGAUUGAACGCUGGCGGCAGGCCUAACACAUGCAAGUCGAGCGGUAGCACAGAGAGCUUGCUCUCGGGUGACGAGCGGCGGACGGGUGAGUAAUGUCUGGGAAACUGCCUGAUGGAGGGGGAUAACUACUGGAAACGGUAGCUAAUACCGCAUAACGUCGCAAGACCAAAGUGGGGGACCUUCGGGCCUCAUGCCAUCAGAUGUGCCCAGAUGGGAUUAGCUAGUAGGUGGGGUAACGGCUCACCUAGGCGACGAUCCCUAGCUGGUCUGAGAGGAUGACCAGCCACACUGGAACUGAGACACGGUCCAGACUCCUACGGGAGGCAGCAGUGGGGAAUAUUGCACAAUGGGCGCAAGCCUGAUGCAGCCAUGCCGCGUGUGUGAAGAAGGCCUUCGGGUUGUAAAGCACUUUCAGCGGGGAGGAAGGCGUUAAGGUUAAUAACCUUGGCGAUUGACGUUACCCGCAGAAGAAGCACCGGCUAACUCCGUGCCAGCAGCCGCGGUAAUACGGAGGGUGCAAGCGUUAAUCGGAAUUACUGGGCGUAAAGCGCACGCAGGCGGUCUGUCAAGUCGGAUGUGAAAUCCCCGGGCUUAACCUGGGAACUGCAUUCGAAACUGGCAGGCUAGAGUCUUGUAGAGGGGGGUAGAAUUCCAGGUGUAGCGGUGAAAUGCGUAGAGAUCUGGAGGAAUACCGGUGGCGAAGGCGGCCCCCUGGACAAAGACUGACGCUCAGGUGCGAAAGCGUGGGGAGCAAACAGGAUUAGAUACCCUGGUAGUCCACGCCGUAAACGAUGUCGAUUUGGAGGUUGUGCCCUUGAGGCGUGGCUUCCGGAGCUAACGCGUUAAAUCGACCGCCUGGGGAGUACGGCCGCAAGGUUAAAACUCAAAUGAAUUGACGGGGGCCCGCACAAGCGGUGGAGCAUGUGGUUUAAUUCGAUGCAACGCGAAGAACCUUACCUGGUCUUGACAUCCACAGAACUUUCCAGAGAUGGAUUGGUGCCUUCGGGAACUGUGAGACAGGUGCUGCAUGGCUGUCGUCAGCUCGUGUUGUGAAAUGUUGGGUUAAGUCCCGCAACGAGCGCAACCCUUAUCCUUUGUUGCCAGCGGUCCGGCCGGGAACUCAAAGGAGACUGCCAGUGAUAAACUGGAGGAAGGUGGGGAUGACGUCAAGUCAUCAUGGCCCUUACGACCAGGGCUACACACGUGCUACAAUGGCAUAUACAAAGAGAAGCGACCUCGCGAGAGCAAGCGGACCUCAUAAAGUAUGUCGUAGUCCGGAUUGGAGUCUGCAACUCGACUCCAUGAAGUCGGAAUCGCUAGUAAUCGUAGAUCAGAAUGCUACGGUGAAUACGUUCCCGGGCCUUGUACACACCGCCCGUCACACCAUGGGAGUGAGUUGCAAAAGAAGUAGGUAGCUUAACCUUCGGGAGGGCGCUUACCACUUUGUGAUUCAUGACUGGGGUGAAGUCGUAACAAGGUAACCGUAGGGGAACCUGCGGUUGGAUCACCU